Molecule: ribosomal RNA, 484 nt
Filed under: uncultured bacterium
Lineage: Bacteria
Description: partial 16S ribosomal RNA
Rfam family: Bacterial small subunit ribosomal RNA
Source: RNAcentral
AUUGAACGCUGGCGGCAGGCCUAACACAUGCAAGUCGAGCGGAUGAAGGGAGCUUGCUCCUGGAUUCAGCGGCGGACGGGUGAGUAAUGCCUAGGAAUCUGCCUGGUAGUGGGGGAUAACGUCCGGAAACGGGCGCUAAUACCGCAUACGUCCUGAGGGAGAAAGUGGGGGAUCUUCGGACCUCCCGCUAUCAGAUGAGCCUAGGUCGGAUUAGCUAGUUGGUGGGGUAAAGGCCUACCAAGGCGACGAUCCGUAACUGGUCUGAGGGGAUGAUCAGUCACACUGGAACUGAGACACGGUCCAGACUCCUACGGGAGGCAGCAGUGGGGAAUAUUGGACAAUGGGCGAAAGCCUGAUCCAGCCAUGCCGCGUGUGUGAAGAAGGUCUUCGGAUUGUAAAGCACUUUAAGUUGGGAGGAAGGGCAGUAAGUUAAUACCUUGCUGUUUUGACGUUACCAACAGAAUAAGCACCGGCUAACUUCGUG